AAAUUGAAGAGUUUGAUCAUGGCUCAGAUUGAACGCUGGCGGCAGGCCUAACACAUGCAAGUCGAACGGUAACAGAAAGCAGCUUGCUGCUUUGCUGACGAGUGGCGGACGGGUGAGUAAUGUCUGGGAAACUGCCCGAUGGAGGGGGAUAACUACUGGAAACGGUAGCUAAUACCGCAUAACGUCGCAAGACCAAAGAGGGGGACCUUCGGGCCUUUUGCCAUCGGAUGUGCCCAGAUGGGAUUAGCUAGUAGGUGGGGUAA
Molecule: ribosomal RNA, 263 nt
Filed under: Escherichia coli
Lineage: Bacteria; Pseudomonadati; Pseudomonadota; Gammaproteobacteria; Enterobacterales; Enterobacteriaceae
Description: partial 16S ribosomal RNA
Rfam family: Bacterial small subunit ribosomal RNA
Source: RNAcentral